AGUGAACGCUGGCGGUAGGCCUAACACAUGCAAGUCGAACGGCAGCACAGUAAGAGUUUGCUCUUAUGGGUGGCGAGUGGCGGACGGGUGAGGAAUACAUCGGAAUCUACUCUUUCGUGGGGGAUAACGUAGGGAAACUUACGCUAAUACCGCAUACGAUCUACGGGUGAAAGCAGGGGAUCUUCGGACCUUGCGCGAUUGAAUGAGCCGAUGUCGGAUUAGCUAGUUGGCGGGGUAAAGGCCCACCAAGGCGACGAUCCGUAGCUGGUCUGAGAGGAUGAUCGGCCACACUGGAACUGAGACACGGUCCAGACUCCUACGGGAGGCAGCAGUGGGGAAUAUUGGACAAUGGGCGCAAGCCUGAUCCAGCCAUACCGCGUGGGUGAAGAAGGCCUUCGGGUUGUAAAGCCCUUUUGUUGGGAAAGAAAAGCAGCAGGUUAAUACCCCGCUGUUCUGACGGUACCCAAAGAAUAAGCACCGGCUAACUUCGUG
This 492-nucleotide ribosomal RNA is filed under the name uncultured bacterium. RNAcentral describes it as "partial 16S ribosomal RNA". It matches the Rfam family "Bacterial small subunit ribosomal RNA", at positions 29 to 507 of the family's 1533-position model. The record is from RNAcentral.